RNAcentral lists this ribosomal RNA (164 nucleotides) under uncultured bacterium. RNAcentral's name for it is "partial 16S rRNA". It matches the Rfam family "Bacterial small subunit ribosomal RNA", at positions 355 to 511 of the family's 1533-position model. The record is from RNAcentral.
UAGGGAAUCUUCCACAAUAGACGCAAGUCUGAUGGAGCAACGCCGCGUGAGUGAAGAAGGUCUUCGGAUCGUAAAACUCUGUUGUUAGAGAAGAACACGAGUGAGAGUAACUGUUCAUUCGAUGACGGUAUCUAACCAGCAAGUCACGGCUAACUACGUGUCAG